RNAcentral lists this transfer RNA (73 nucleotides) under Aedes aegypti (yellow fever mosquito). It matches the Rfam family "tRNA". Rfam says of the family: Transfer RNA (tRNA) molecules are approximately 80 nucleotides in length. Their secondary structure includes four short double-helical elements and three loops (D, anti-codon, and T loops). Further hydrogen bonds mediate the characteristic L-shaped molecular structure. tRNAs have two regions of fundamental functional importance: the anti-codon, which is responsible for specific mRNA codon recognition, and the 3' end, to which the tRNAs corresponding amino acid is attached (by aminoacyl-tRNA synthetases). tRNAs cope with the degeneracy of the genetic code in two manners: having more than one tRNA (with a specific anti-codon) for a particular amino acid; and 'wobble' base-pairing, i.e. permitting non-standard base-pairing at the 3rd anti-codon position. The record is from Rfam by way of RNAcentral. Lineage: Eukaryota; Metazoa; Arthropoda; Insecta; Diptera; Culicidae.
GGCUCCGCAGUUUGUAGGUUAAAGCGUCUAUCUAGCGAAUAGGAAGUCAUGGGUUCGAUCCCCACCGGAGCAC